AGGGCUGCACCCAUGGCAUAUGGAGGCUCCCACGAUAGGGGUCUAAUCAGAGUUGUAGCUGCUAGCCUACACCACAGCCACAGCAAUGAAGGAUCCAAGCCAUGUCUGCAACCUACACCACAGCUCACAGCAAUGCUGGAUCCUUAACCUGCUGAGCAAGGCCAGGGAUUGAACCCACAUCCUCAUGGAUACCUCAUUAACCACUGAGCCAUGACAGGAACUCCUGUUUUGCUUUUUAUGGUCCUAUCUAUGCCAUAUGGAAGUUCCCAGGCUAGGGGUCCAACCAGAGCUACAUCUGCUGGCCUAUGCCACAGCCACAGCAACACAGGAUCUAAGCCAUGUCUGCGACCUAUACCAUAGCUCAUGGCAAUGCCGGAUCCCUGACCCACUGAACAAGGCCAGGGAUCAAACCUGUGUCCUCAUGGAUGCUAGUCAUGUUCGUUAACCACUGAGCCACAACAGGAACUCCUGAUUCUCCCUUCUUGAAAUUGUACUCUCAGAGGAGGCUGAGGUUACCUGUCUUCAUGUCCGUUGCCUUCCACUGAGCAGACGUCAGACAGCUCAGAUGCAGAGCAUCUUUAGAUCUAAAUGUUCAGUACUUAAUAGAUUCCCACUAUAGCUCCAGUUGUAUCCCUAGCCCUGGGAACUUCCAUAUGCUGCAUGUAUGGCCCUAAAAAAGCAAAAAAAAAAAAAAAAAAAAAAAAAAAAAAAAAAGUUGUAUGAAUGUGGUCUUAAAAUAUCUUAUUUGACAAAUAUACCUUUUCCAUUUAAUUAAACACUUAAUACCAUGCACCGUGACCAUAAAUUUUGCAGUUUGAAAUGUGACCAGCACAAAUUUUUUGCCUUCUUAACAAUUUCAUGGAUAGAAGAUUCAUUCUUAUCAUAGAUCUUCGAAACCUCACCAUUUUUUUUCUUUACUUAUUAGUCGAGAACUUUUAUUUUUUCACUUCAAGGAAGCUUCUCUUGAGCAUGUUUGAAUUGCCAGCAUCACUUCCCUUGCGCUCUAGGACCAUUAUUAAGUAAAGUAAGGGUUACUUCGACAUGAAUGUACCAUCUGAUGACUGGGAGGGCCACGCAGUGGCUAACAGGCAGGAUACACUGGACAAAGGGAUAAUUCACAUCCCCAGCAGGACAGACGGAGCAGGAUGGUGCAAUAUUUCAUUGCACUGCUCAGAACAGUGUGCAGUUUAAAACUUAUGAAUUGUUUAUUCAUAACAAUAAUAUUAAACGGAAAAUUGUUGGGACCAUGCGUGGUUGGGUGGGGAUAAAUGAAACUGUGGAAAGUGAAACUAUAGACCAGGGGGCAGCUACCGUACCAGUGACCAAGAUUUUCAACCUUUUGGAAAAUCACAGUCUAUCAGCAUUUAGCCUCCACUAGGCUUUUGAUCUACUGACCAAAAGACAUUUUAUGUGUUCCCGGAAACAAAAGAACAGAAAGUAAAAUUAAAUAAUUACAUAAAAGGAAAUCUAAUCAAUGUCUUUUGGACUGAAAGAUACCAUCUGUUACAUUCAGGACAGGGCAAAGAUGUGCUGUGUAGUAGCCAGCAGGGCUUUACUAACAUGUUUUAUGUAGGUCUGGUUUUUGUGGUUUUGUAAUUUUUUUAGUUUUGCAAUAUUAUGGGCAAAAGAAUUAUGAUACAGUUAAGCGAAGACAACUUACAGAGUAGGUCACAUUUGGUGAAAACCAAAGAAAGCCCCCAAGAUAUUCCAUAGGCUAUGUUAUGUAGUUUGAUAUCAUUUUAUGAAAAAAAGUCAAGAUUCAGAAAGGUUUUGAUUUCCCAAGGCCACACGGUUAGGAAUGAAAUCCAGGUCUCCUGAUUCCUGGGCUAGUCUUUCUAGGAACCUUGAGUCUUUGGCGGUCCUGCCCUGAGAGAAUGAUAUGAAAGGAAAGAAGGAAAGAGGUAGGGGAUGUGGUUCUCUCUCCUCCUACUCUCCUCCCAACACCAGCCAGGGAGGAGGCCCUGCAAGGGAAACAGAUUGGCCUGGGCUGGCCCUGUUCCCUCCUAAUCGUGGUCCCAGGCAGAGCACACUGCCCAUAGAGGCCCCGUGGGCUGUGAUUGCCUUGUUCACUACUAAGCCUAUGUAUGCUUGUUGUGUUGCUGAUUUCAUAAUUAAAUUGUAUAUUAUCGAUUGUACUAGAGAGAAUGAAGACACCAUAUCUGAGGAAAUGAUUCUGCUGGCAUUGCUUUGAAAAUAGUGUUUUCACUUGACUGCAAAAAAAGCAAACUUAGUAUCUGUAUAUUAAGGAUGUAGGUUAUGGAGAAGAAAAAAAUCCAGGUAACUCCUAGCAAUAAGGUCACAUUCUAAGAAAGUUCUUAACUCUAUAUCAAAAAUCUGGUGCCUGACAUUCCCGUGAGCUGUGGUGUAGGUUGCAGAUGUGGCUCAGAUCUGGCAUUGCUGUGGCUCUGGCAUAGGCUGGCAGCUGUAGCUCAGACUGGACCCUAGCCGGGAACUUCCAUGUGCCGCAAGGGGGGGCCCUAAAAAGCACACAAGAAGAAAAAAAAAA
Molecule: long non-coding RNA, 2506 nt
Filed under: Sus scrofa (pig)
Lineage: Eukaryota; Metazoa; Chordata; Mammalia; Artiodactyla; Suidae
Description: lncRNA (ENSSSCG00060076641.1)
Source: RNAcentral